UGACCUCGGAUCAGGUAGGGAUACCCGCUGAACUUAAGCAUAUCAAUAAGCGGAGGAAAAGAAACCAACAGGGAUUGCCCUAGUAACGGCGAGUGAAGCGGCAACAGCUCAAAUUUGAAAGCUGGCCUUCGGGUCCGCAUUGUAAUUUGUAGAGGAUGCUUUGGGGCAGCCGCCUGUCUAAGUUCCUUGGAACAGGACGUCAUAGAGGGUGAGAAUCCCGUAUGUGACAGGACAUGGCACCCUAUGUAAAGCUCCUUCGACGAGUCGAGUUGUUUGGGAAUGCAGCUCUAAAUGGGAGGUAAAUUUCUUCUAAAGCUAAAUACCGGCGAGAGACCGAUAGCGCACAAGUAGAGUGAUCGAAAGAUGAAAAGCACUUUGGAAAGAGAGUUAAAAAGCACGUGAAAUUGUUGAAAGGGAAGCGCUUGCAAUCAGACUUGUUUUGACUGUUCGGCCGGUCUUCUGACCGGUUUAUUCAGUCUGGACAGGCCAGCAUCAGUUUUGGCGGCCGGAUAAAGGCUCAGGGAAUGUGGCUCUCGCUUCGGCGGGAGUGUUAUAGCCCUGGGUGUAAUACGGCCAGCCGGGACUGAGGUCCGCGCUUCGGCUAGGAUGCUGGCGUAAUGGUUGUAAGCGACC
RNAcentral lists this ribosomal RNA (633 nucleotides) under Aureobasidium thailandense. RNAcentral's name for it is "eukaryotic LSU rRNA". It matches the Rfam family "Eukaryotic large subunit ribosomal RNA", at positions 1 to 649 of the family's 3401-position model. Lineage: Eukaryota; Fungi; Ascomycota; Dothideomycetes; Dothideales; Saccotheciaceae. The record is from RNAcentral.